This 253-nucleotide ribosomal RNA is filed under the name uncultured bacterium. Its description in RNAcentral is "partial 16S ribosomal RNA". It matches the Rfam family "Bacterial small subunit ribosomal RNA", at positions 524 to 776 of the family's 1533-position model. The record is from RNAcentral.
UACAGAGGGGGCAAGCGUUGUUCGGAAUUACUGGGCGUAAAGGGCGCGUAGGCGGCCUGUUAAGUCGAACGUGAAAUCCCCGGGCUCAACCCGGGAACUGCGUCCGAUACUGGCAGGCUUGAAUCCGGGAGAGGGAUGUGGAAUUCCAGGUGUAGCGGUGAAAUGCGUAGAUAUCUGGAGGAACACCGGUGGCGAAGGCGGCAUCCUGGACCGGCAUUGACGCUGAGGAGCGAAAGCCAGGGGAGCAAACGGG